GCUCCUGUCGGUCGGUCCGCCUUCUUGGUGUGUACUUACUCGACGGGAGCUUACCUCCUGGUGAGCUGUCAUGCCCUUCACUGGGUGUGGCAGGGAACCAGGACUUUUACUUUGAAAAAAUUAGAGUGUUCAAAGCAGGCCUUUGCCCGAAUACAUUAGCAUGGAAUAAUAAAAUAGGACGCGCGUUCCCAUUUUGUUGGUUUAUGAGAUCGCCGUA
RNAcentral lists this ribosomal RNA (217 nucleotides) under uncultured fungus. Its description in RNAcentral is "partial small subunit ribosomal RNA". The stretch from base 92 to 217 matches the Rfam family "Eukaryotic small subunit ribosomal RNA", at positions 737 to 864 of the family's 1831-position model. The record is from RNAcentral. Lineage: Eukaryota; Fungi.